GCAGGUGAGUGCUGGGCAUGCGGCGGAUUCCAAACCCGCUCUGCUGAGGGUUCGAUUCCUUCCACCUGUGC
This 71-nucleotide transfer RNA is filed under the name Mycobacterium phage ScoobyDoobyDoo. Its description in RNAcentral is "tRNA-Trp". It matches the Rfam family "tRNA". From Rfam's summary of the family: Transfer RNA (tRNA) molecules are approximately 80 nucleotides in length. Their secondary structure includes four short double-helical elements and three loops (D, anti-codon, and T loops). Further hydrogen bonds mediate the characteristic L-shaped molecular structure. tRNAs have two regions of fundamental functional importance: the anti-codon, which is responsible for specific mRNA codon recognition, and the 3' end, to which the tRNAs corresponding amino acid is attached (by aminoacyl-tRNA synthetases). tRNAs cope with the degeneracy of the genetic code in two manners: having more than one tRNA (with a specific anti-codon) for a particular amino acid; and 'wobble' base-pairing, i.e. permitting non-standard base-pairing at the 3rd anti-codon position. The record is from RNAcentral. Lineage: Duplodnaviria; Heunggongvirae; Uroviricota; Caudoviricetes.